CCCUUAGAUGUUCUGGGCCGCACGCGUGCUACACUGAGUGGAUCAGCGGGUCAGGUUGCGCGAAAGUGUUUCCUAAUCUUGAAAUCCGCUCGUGAUGGAGAUUGACGGUUGCAAUUUUCCGUCAUGAACGAGGAAUACCUUGUAAGCGCGGGUCAUCAUCCCGCGCUGAAUACGUCCCUGCCCUUUGUACACACCGCCCGUCGCUCCUACCGAUUGAGUGGUCCGGUGAGGCUUUGGGAUCUGAGCAAAGAGAGCGUUUCGCUCGUUUUGCCCGGAAAACUCAGUCGAACCUUAUCAUUUAGAGGAAGGAGAAGUCGUAACA
Molecule: ribosomal RNA, 322 nt
Filed under: uncultured eukaryote
Lineage: Eukaryota
Description: partial 18S ribosomal RNA
Rfam family: Eukaryotic small subunit ribosomal RNA
Source: RNAcentral